RNAcentral lists this ribosomal RNA (229 nucleotides) under uncultured bacterium. RNAcentral describes it as "partial 16S ribosomal RNA". It matches the Rfam family "Bacterial small subunit ribosomal RNA", at positions 568 to 796 of the family's 1533-position model. The record is from RNAcentral.
UACGUAGGCGGAAUAAUAAGUCAGUGGUGAAAUCCUGCGGCGCAACCGUAGAACUGCCAUUGAAACUGUUAUUCUUGAAUGUAGUUGAGGUAGGCGGAAUGUGUAAUGUAGCGGUGAAAUGCUUAGAUAUUACACAGAACACCGAUUGCGAAGGCAGCUUACUAAACUAUGAUUGACGCUGAUGUACGAAAGCGUGGGGAGCGAACAGGAUUAGAUACCCUGGUAGUCC